This 253-nucleotide ribosomal RNA is filed under the name uncultured bacterium. RNAcentral describes it as "partial 16S ribosomal RNA". It matches the Rfam family "Bacterial small subunit ribosomal RNA", at positions 524 to 776 of the family's 1533-position model. The record is from RNAcentral.
UACAGAGGGUGCGAGCGUUAAUCGGAAUCACUGGGCGUAAAGGGUGCGUAGGUGGUUGAAUAAGUCAGAUGUGAAAUCCCUGGGCUCAACCUAGGAAUUGCGUUUGGUACUGUUCAGCUAGAGUGCAGUAGAGGGAAGUGGAAUUUCCGGUGUAGCGGUGAAAUGCGUAGAUAUCGGAAGGAACAUCAGUGGCGAAGGCGACUUCCUGGACUGUUACUGACACUGAGGCACGAAAGCGUGGGGAGCGAACAGG